Molecule: transfer RNA, 79 nt
Filed under: Candidatus Bathyarchaeota archaeon
Lineage: Archaea; Thermoproteati; Candidatus Bathyarchaeota
Also listed under: 3 other names
Description: tRNA-Gly
Rfam family: tRNA
About the family: Transfer RNA (tRNA) molecules are approximately 80 nucleotides in length. Their secondary structure includes four short double-helical elements and three loops (D, anti-codon, and T loops).
Source: RNAcentral
GCGGCGGUCGUCCAGCCUGGUCUAGGACCCGAGUCUCCCAAGCUCGUGAUCCCGGGUUCAAAUCCCGGCCGCCGCACCA